GAUGAACGCUGGCGGCGUGCCUAAUACAUGCAAGUCGAGCGAACAGACGAGGAGCUUGCUCCUCUGACGUUAGCGGCGGACGGGUGAGUAACACGUGGAUAACCUACCUAUAAGACUGGGAUAACUUCGGGAAACCGGAGCUAAUACCGGAUAAUAUAUUGAACCGCAUGGUUCAAUAGUGAAAGACGGUUUUGCUGUCACUUAUAGAUGGAUCCGCGCCGCAUUAGCUAGUUGGUAAGGUAACGGCUUACCAAGGCGACGAUGCGUAGCCGACCUGAGGGGGUGUUCGGCACCACUGGACCUGAGACACGGCCCAGACUCCUACGGGAGGCAGCGUGAGGAAAUCUUCCGCAAUGGGCGAAAGCCUGACGGAGCAACGCCGCGUGAGUGAUGAAGGUCUUCGGUUCGUAAAACUCUGUUAUUAGGGAAGAACAAAUGUGUAAGUAACUAUGCACGUCUUGACGGUACCUAAGCAGAAAGCCCCGGCUAACUACGU
RNAcentral lists this ribosomal RNA (496 nucleotides) under uncultured bacterium. RNAcentral describes it as "partial 16S ribosomal RNA". It matches the Rfam family "Bacterial small subunit ribosomal RNA", at positions 28 to 506 of the family's 1533-position model. The record is from RNAcentral.